RNAcentral lists this ribosomal RNA (486 nucleotides) under uncultured bacterium. RNAcentral describes it as "partial 16S ribosomal RNA". It matches the Rfam family "Bacterial small subunit ribosomal RNA", at positions 30 to 507 of the family's 1533-position model. The record is from RNAcentral.
AUUGAACGCUGGCGGCAUGCCUUACACAUGCCAGUCGAACGGCAGCACGGGUGCUUGCACCUGGUGGCGAGUGGCGAACGGGUGAGUAAUACAUCGGAACAUGUCCUGUAGUGGGGGAUAGCCCGGCGAAAGCCGGAUUAAUACCGCAUACGAUCUACGGAUGACAGCGGGGGACCUUCGGGCCUCGCGCUAUAGGGUUGGCCGAUGGCUGAUUAGCUAGUUGGUGGGGUAAAGGCCUACCAAGGCGACGAUCAGUAGCUGGUCUGAGAGGACGACCAGCCACACUGGGACUGAGACACGGCCCAGACUCCUACGGGAGGCAGCAGUGGGGAAUUUUGGACAAUGGGCGAAAGCCUGAUCCAGCAAUGCCGCGUGUGUGAAGAAGGCCUUCGGGUUGUAAAGCACUUUUGUCCGGAAAGAAAUCCUUGGCCCUAAUACGGUCGGGGGAUGACGGUACCGGAAGAAUAAGCACCGGCUAACUACGUG